CCCUUAGAUGUUCUGGGCUGCACGCGCGUUACACUGAUGCAUUCAACGAGCUUAUAACCUUGGCCGAGAGGCCUGGGCAAUCUUGUUAACGUGCAUCGUGAUAGGGAUAGAUUAUUGAAAUUAUUAAUCUUGAACGAGGAAUUCCUAGUAAACGCAGAUCAUCAAUCUGCAUUGAUUACGUCCCUGCCCUUUGUACACACCGCCCGUCGCACCUACCGAUUGGAUGGUCCGGUGAAGCCUCGGGAUUGUGGUUCUUGCCGCUUUAUUGUGGCGUGACCGCGAGAACUUGUCUAAACCUUAUCAUCUAGAGGAAGGUGAANUCGUAACA
This 328-nucleotide ribosomal RNA is filed under the name uncultured eukaryote. RNAcentral describes it as "partial 18S ribosomal RNA". It matches the Rfam family "Eukaryotic small subunit ribosomal RNA", at positions 1470 to 1796 of the family's 1831-position model. The record is from RNAcentral.